CCGUGGUCAACUACCCUGUGGACCGCCAUAACCUCGGGAAACUGAGGCUAAUAGCGGAUAGCGCUCUCGAGCUGGAAUAGCCGAGAGCGCGAAACGUUCCGGCGCCACAGGAUGUGACUGCGGCCGAUUAGGUAGAUGGUGGGGUAACGGCCCACCAUGCCGAUAAUCGGUACGGGUUGUGAGAGCAAGAGCCCGGAGACGGACUCUGAGACAAGAGUCCGGGCCCUACGGGGCGCAGCAGGCGCGAAACCUUUACACUGCGCGACAGCGCGAUAGGGGGACACCGAGUGCGAGGGCAUAGAGCCCUCGCUUUUGUGUACCGUAAGGUGGUACACGAAUAAGGGCUGGGCAAGACCGGUGCCAGCCGCCGCGGUAACACCGGCAGCCCAAGUGAUGGCCGCUAUUAUUGGGCCUAAAGCGUCCGUAGCCGGCCGUUCAGGUCCGUCGGGAAAUCCACUGGCUUAACCAGUGAGCGUCCGGCGGAAACCGUUCGGCUUGGGACAGGGAGACCAGAGGGGUACGUCCGGGGUAGGAGUGAAAUCCCGUAAUCCUGGACGGACCAUCGGUGGCGAAAGCGCCUCUGGAGAACUGAUCCGACGGUGAGGGACGAAAGCUAGGGUCUCGAACCGGAUUAGAUACCCGGGUAGUCCUAGCCGUAAACGAUGCUCGCUAGGUGUGGCGCAGGCUACGAGCCUCCGCUGUGCCGUAGG
This 710-nucleotide ribosomal RNA is filed under the name uncultured archaeon. Its description in RNAcentral is "bacterial SSU rRNA". It matches the Rfam family "Archaeal small subunit ribosomal RNA", at positions 98 to 807 of the family's 1478-position model. The record is from RNAcentral.